This 396-nucleotide ribosomal RNA is filed under the name uncultured bacterium. RNAcentral describes it as "partial 16S ribosomal RNA". It matches the Rfam family "Bacterial small subunit ribosomal RNA", at positions 523 to 918 of the family's 1533-position model. The record is from RNAcentral.
AUACGUAGGGGGCGAGCGUUGUCCGGAAUGACUGGGCGUAAAGGGCGUGUAGGCGGCGGUGUAAGUCUGGAGUGAAAGUCCCGCAUUCAAUGUGGGAAUUGCUUUGGAUACUGCAGUGCUAGAGUGCGGAAGAGGUAAGUGGAAUUCCCAGUGUAGCGGUGAAAUGCGUAGAGAUUGGGAGGAACACCAGUGGCGUAGGCGACUUACUGGGCCGGAACUGACGCUGAGGCGCGAAAGCGUGGGGAGCAAACAGGAUUAGAUACCCUGGUAGUCCACGCUGUAAACGAUGAUUACUAGGUGUGGGGGGACUGACCCCUUCCGUGCCGCAGUUAACACAAUAAGUAAUCCACCUGGGGAGUACGGCCGCAAGGUUGAAACUCAAAUGAAUUGACGGGG